Molecule: non-coding RNA, 75 nt
Organism: Potamilus streckersoni
Lineage: Eukaryota; Metazoa; Mollusca; Bivalvia; Unionida; Unionidae
Source: the annotation of a GenBank genome assembly
AGCUCUUGUGGCCUGAGUGGUUAGAGAAGCUGUCUCUGAUACAAUAGGUCGCGGGUUCGAACCCCAGCUGAGUCA